CCUACGUGAGGCAGCAGUGGGGAAUAUUGCACAAUGGGGGAAACCCUGAUGCAGCGACGCCGCGUGAGUGAAGAAGUAUUUCGGUAUGUAAAGCUCUAUCAGCAGGGAAGAGAAUGACGGUACCUGAGUAAGAAGCCCCGGCUAACUACGUUCCAGCCGCCGCGGUAAUACGUAGGGGGCAAGCGUUAGCCGGAUUGACGGGGUGUAAAGGGAGCGUAGACGGCGAAGAAAGUCUGAAGUGAAAGCCCGCGGCUCAACCGCGGAACUGCUUUGGAAACUUUGUUGCUGGAGUACCGGAGAGGUAAGCGGAAUACCUAGUGUAGCGGUGAAAUGCGUAGAUAUUAGGAGGAACACCAGUGGCGAAGGCGGCUUACUGGACGGUAACUGACGUUGAGGCUCGAAAGCGUGGGGAGCAAACAGGAUUAGAUACCCGGGUAGUC
RNAcentral lists this ribosomal RNA (440 nucleotides) under uncultured bacterium. Its description in RNAcentral is "partial 16S ribosomal RNA". It matches the Rfam family "Bacterial small subunit ribosomal RNA", at positions 338 to 795 of the family's 1533-position model. The record is from RNAcentral.